This is a long non-coding RNA of Cucumis melo (muskmelon), 639 nucleotides long. RefSeq lists it as uncharacterized. The transcript is spliced from 2 exons. The record is from RefSeq and is a predicted model, not a curated record. NCBI's taxonomy places the organism in Eukaryota, Viridiplantae, Streptophyta, Magnoliopsida, Cucurbitales, Cucurbitaceae.
UCCAACUUGUUCUAUUUGAAAAAGUGUUCACAUUGGGGAUAUGUACACUAUCUGAUCUCUUAACAUUUAUUAAGGCUUCUUGCCAAUAUAAUAUUCUCAUAAUUUUAUUCACUUCUUAAAAAAGCCAUCAAGAACCAAAUUGGGUAUAAAUAUCACCACCUACGUUAUCAUCAAAGCAUCUCAUUCAUAACCUUCAAGAAAUAAAAACGGAAUUGAAGAUAUGGCUGAAGAAAGAAUUGUUCUUCCUUCAGGAAAAUCCUCGUGGCCGGAACUCGUAUUCGUCGAAUCUUCCAUUGCCGUACAUCUUAUACAAAGAGACCGACCUGAUGUCAAACCAAUUGUGCUAUUAGCUGGAUCUCGCAUUACUGAAGAACUUAAUCUAACUCGAGUUCGAGUAAUUGUUAAUAUAAAAAAUAAAGUUGUUGAAGAACCUAUAGUUGGUUGAAGUAAUUUGAAUGUCUAUAUUUGGAACAACUAGGUUGUGAUUAAAUAAGGUAGAAUCUACACUACCCUUUUAAAUAAUUUGAAUUUUAUGUAUGGUUUGUUUGGAUGUAAAAGAUUACUCAUAUGUAUCUAGAUAUUUGUGUGGUCAUGGGAACACGUUUUUUCUAACGGCAAUAAAGCAUUUAUGUUGAUUAA